Molecule: transfer RNA, 65 nt
Filed under: Sialis jiyuni
Lineage: Eukaryota; Metazoa; Arthropoda; Insecta; Megaloptera; Sialidae
Description: tRNA-Glu
Source: RNAcentral
AUUUAUAUAGUUUAAAAAAAACCUUACAUUUUCACUGUAAAAAUAAAAUUUAAUUUUUAUAAAUA